CAAACGCACAAACACAAACACACACAGAGUUCAGGAGCUACGCCCCCUGCUGCUUGCUGCAGCUCUGUCUCUGCUCAGCUCUGUCCCGCCGCCACUCUGUUACAAUAUUCUAUGUCAGCAAAUAAGACCCUCCACAGCGGGCAUUACCAGGGAUUAUGGACUGUUUGGGUAAUGGGGCUGAGAUGAAGUUGAUACAACACAACAAAUUGUAAUUUUUAUUUAUUUUAAAGGCUUUUAAUGCACUGUUAAAAAGAGCUUACUAUCUGAUCUGAUGCUCCGCUAGUAAACUUGUCAGAUCAAAGUUUCUUUAGUAUGCUGUGUACUGUAUCCUGAGCUGUGUUCUCUCUCCUCAGACCCCACCCCGCUGCUGGCAAAGCCUCUUCAUACAGACAGCCUGCACUGGUCCUCCUCAUCCUGUGCUGUCUCUUACUGGCUGCCAUCAUCUCCCUCGCUGUCUAUCAUUUCAGAACUAAAGAAGACCCUGAGAAAUACACCAGCCUGUCCACAAAUUAUUCAUCAAUACUGAAUCAGCUCCAGGACUUGAGCAGUGACUACAGCAACCUCAACAAGAAUCAUUCUGAAUUGAAAAAGAGCAAUACUGAGCUUUCUGUCAAAUCAUCAAUCUUGGAUAAAUACUGUCCUCUCAAAGAAGGCUCUUCAAAGGAGCGGGGUUGUUGUCCAGAGAAGUGGGUGCAGUUCAAUGGAAAGUGCUACUACUUCUCAACUGAUACAAUGGACUGGAACUCCAGCCAGGCUAGCUGUGUGUCAAUGGGAG
Molecule: long non-coding RNA, 775 nt
Organism: Acipenser ruthenus (sterlet)
Lineage: Eukaryota; Metazoa; Chordata; Actinopteri; Acipenseriformes; Acipenseridae
Exons: 3
Source: RefSeq, a predicted model, not a curated record